AUAAGAACAGUGAAGAGGAGCAGUAAGAAGCAGAUUUUGUUAUAGAGAAUUGACGGCUGGUGAAAGUCAAUCGAAUCUGUUUCUGAACUCACCUCAGAGUUGCAGCGGUGAAAGCCGCUGACGCAUAACUGCGUUAAAAGUAUCAAGUGAGUGCGGCAUCAGCCGCGCUAACGAGGGUGGUACCGCGGGAAAACGAAAGUCUCUCGUCCCUUUU
Molecule: non-coding RNA, 214 nt
Filed under: Bacillus atrophaeus
Lineage: Bacteria; Bacillati; Bacillota; Bacilli; Caryophanales; Bacillaceae
Description: T-box sequence
Rfam family: T-box leader
About the family: Uncharged tRNA acts as the effector for transcription antitermination of genes in the T-box leader family.
Source: RNAcentral